GAGGAGAGAGAAUCCCAAGCAGGUUCCACACGGUCAGUGCAGAGCCUGACGCUGGGCUGGAUCUCACAAGCCCCGAGAUCAUGACCUGAGCCGAAGUCGGAUGCUCAACCGACUGAGCCCCCCAGGCACCCCUGAUGUAUUUAGUCUUUGAAAAUUGAAGAGGUAGAAACUAACUCUGGAAAAGCCCUGUUCUGGUCGAGGAAUCAGGACCUUGGAGCCAACCUGGGGCCGCAGCCCUGGGGCUGGUGUCAAAGGUGCCGCAUGGACUCCAGGGUGCCUGGGACUUCGCCUGCCCCUAGAGUGGGAUUCAGGAGGGACCCUGACGCGUCUGGGCCACCGGCCUCCUCUGGGGCCUCCCUUGGAUUAUCCGCGCAGUGUAUCUCUCUAGCGUCUCGUGGGCCGGACUCUGCUGUGUGGCCCUCAAAGCUUGUACCUCAAAACCAAGCCCGGUUUCACUGGCUGGCCGUCUUCCUUACUCCGCAGAGGAGGGGCCGCUGGGCUGGGACCCCAGGGCUGAGGAUGGGGCACACGGGGCCACACUGGUGUGUUGGACUCCUCUGCCUCACCUUGCGUGCUUCUCCUGGGUGCUCUUGUGUAUUUCUCACGGUAACCGCAGGACUUGGGGGCUGCUGCCGCCGACCGCGGACGGCGCUGGGGCUGCCUGGGGCCCUGGCGGGGGGCUGGGCAGGAUCGGGGACCCUGGGGGGUGCCCUCCGGCGCUGGAGUCGCUGCGGUCCCGCUCAGCGGUCAGUCCACGGGCCCUCGGCUCUGCCAGUGAGAACGGCACCAACAUUAAGCACAGGGAGGAGGCACCGUGCCAGGUAGCACAUCAUCUGCGAUUAUUGCUUAUUGCCUUCUUCAUCCAGCUUGAAAUGCCCACCAGCUGUGUGUCCUUCCGUCUGUCUGGGUUACGGUUGCCAGGGACACAAGGCUGUCUGUCGGGUGUAGGAAGGCGUGUGUCCCGGGGAGGCAGGAGGGGCCCUACGGCACACACCGCUGUGUGGACAGGGCCUGGAUUCAUCCCGGUGGCCGGGGGUCCCGUGGGUCCGGCCGGUGGGCGGUGGGCCUUUGCUCGAGCACGGUUCUGUGGCCGGGGGUGGGACAGCCACUCCUCCUCCUCCACGACACCGGCAGGAGACGACGCCCCCGGAGAAAGCCGGGGUUUGUCAGCUGCAGAGGGAACAGGGCGAACUUGUCUCACUCCAGCUCUGCAGUCCUGUCGUCCUGAGGUUCAGGGUACCCCCCGGGCUCAGGAGGGGCGACCCCCGCGGCUCAGAGACGCUGGCGCCCCCCCUCCCCCCACCAAGGAGGGCUGAGGGCUCUGGGGCUCUGACCUUCCCUCCACAGGGCGACGAGGCAAUUCCUAUUCCGGGGACAUUUUUCACAAUAAAUCCAAGUCAGGCUCUGAGAGAAUGGAAGUCCCUGGGGCACAAGGUUAUGGGCACCUUGACAGCCCGGGGCGAAGUAAAUCAGCAGAACGGAUGACAUUUUUCCAGAUGGAAACCGAGUGCCGGUCUGUCUCCUCAGGAAGAGGAAGCCAGCGUCUAGCACAGGAGGUUGCUCGCGGAGGGAAGCUGCUGACGGGUCUGCCCUCAGAGGGGGCCGAGGUCGAGGCCGAUGGCCGAGGGUCCUCGCGGGGCGGGAGCCGGGGAGGGUCCGUGCGCCCCGAGCUCCUCGUGUGUGUUCACUUCAUGCCACGUGUUGUCUCGUGGAGGCAGGGCCGGGUGGCGUGAACAGGUGAUGGGGCGCUGGGCCGGGCGGGGGAGGGAGGGAGACCCGGGGGCAGAGGUCAGGGCAGAGAGGCUGAGACACCUCCCCGGGUUCCUUGUUUGACGGGGAAGCGCUGAUUAGGCGCCUGUGUCCGCAGGGAGCAGCACUUCCCGUGCCUGGUGCUGCUGGCCCCUCAUGAAACCGGGGGGGUUACCGUCGUUCCCACCUUGGCUGGGGGCUCAGAGAGGCUUGCGCAGGUGCCCACGGCCACGCACGAAACGGUCUUGUCCGGCCUCCACGCGGCAGCGGACCCCAGAGUCUCUACCGCCUCCCCACUAAGCUCCCCGGGGGCAGGUCACGCAUCUUGGUCACCGUGUCCUCCCCUGUCCAGCUGAGUGGCCACAGGGAAGCGUCCAGAAACGUCUGAAUGAAUGAGCGAGCCCACGUCAUCACGAGGAUACCUUUACCGACAACAGCCUCCGUUCAUCGGUGGCCGCUGGCCCGUUGGCGCCCCAGCGGCCCUGUGAGGUGUGGGGACACCCGGGCUCGCGGGGGAUCGUCAGCGCGUUCCAGGUCGCGCCGCUGGUGGAGCUGGGAAUGGAGCCCACGGGGCUCUGACCUCUGUCCUCGCGGGAGCCGUCCCAGGGCUGAGUCUGCGUGAAGGAGCCUGUCCUCAGCUGUCUUCAGGUGCACGUCAGCGGGAGACGAGGACCCCGUGGGAAGGCGGCGGCGUGGAGGCUGGUCUGCUGGGGGGGGGGGGGGGUCUGUCCUGUUCCCGGUGCCCAGGCCCCCCUACCUUCUCCAUGUAGAGAACCUGGCCCAGGCCUUGGGGCUCCCAGACCAGCAGAAAGCGUGGCCGUGGCGCCGUGCCGGUGCGGGUCUCCGUCCUGAGGGGCCUGGCUGCCGUGUCACAGGCCCAUCACGUCCGUCUGGAGGAGGACCCAGGGAACGGCCCCACGUGGGCGGGGAAAGCGCUGGCGUCGGGAGUGGGACGGCCACCGUCAGCACCGCACACAUGGGGGGAGCCGUCCCCGACCUGCUGCUCGGACCCCCGCGUGCUGGAGGACUGUCCUGUGAGCCCUGCCCGGAGUCCCCAGCCCCAGGGUCUCGGGGCGGCCUCGGCUCCUGUGCCCGGCCGCUGUGUGUUGCCGUGGUGUGUGACGGACGGCUCGGCCCACCCUCCUGGGGCCGAAAGCGCAGAUGGCGGGCGGCCGUCGGAGCGGGAUCUCGAGGGCCGCAGGCAGUGUCCGGGGCCAUGGCCGAGGCGAGCAGUGCACAGCCGUGUCUGAGUCUGUGCGCGGCCUGUUGUGGUUUCAGAGGUGAGGGCAGGUUAGCAGGCAUCUGGGAUCCUGGGAGGAGAAUGGGACGCAUCCGUCCUGCUGACACCGAAAAGUCACCACGGGGCAAGAGGAGAGGCAGGGGGCACCUGGGUGGCUCAGUCGGUUGAGCGUUUGACUUGGGCUCAGGUCCUGAUCUCACACUCCGUGAGUUCGAGUCCCGCGUCGGGCUCUGUGCUGACGGCUCGGAGCCUGGUGCCUGCUUCGGAUUCUGUGUCUCCCUCUCUGCCCCUCCCCCGCUCAUGCUCUGCCUCUUUCUCUCUCUCAAAAAUAAAUAAACAUUGAAAACAUUUAAAAAAGAAAGAAAAGAGUCAGGCUUCCAGGUGCUGUUCAGCGUGGGGCGGGUGGCUCCAGGCGGUGGCGGGAGAGUACCCGUGAGCGAAUGAACACUGGCAAACACCCAGUGCCCUGGGCCCAGAGACCGACACGGCCCGGGAGCCGUGGGCCAGCGUGUGCACUAGCAUCCGGGCAGCGGCCCGGGGGAGCAAGGUGGAGAGGACCCGGUUCCCUCUCCGGUGCUUUGUGUCACUGGAAGGACACGCGGUUGGGCCCGGCCCUGGCUCCACCGGGUUAGAGGCUGUGUGAUGUGCCGUUCGCGGUCCCAGGCUCCCGGGAGCACCGUGAGCUCCCAGAUCAGGCCGUCCUCCUCUGUUCGGCGCCCCUGUGAGUCCCACACCCGGGCUCUUCCAGCCUACACACAACCUUCAUGUGGACAGAGCUUCUCCCUCUGUAACUUACGGGACGGCAUCCGCCCGUCCCAGGCACGCUUCCCACGGCGCAAAGCCACCUCCGCCUCACGGCUGGGCGCACAGCUGGACACAGAGCUGGAAGGAGCUCGCGCUCAGGUCGUCUGGAGCAGAAGAUCCAAGGAGAUGACACAGGUGACAGGGAAGCGGGCCACUCUCUCUUCGUGCCUCGCCUCUAACGCCUGUCAACGACCGCCCGUCAUCCCUCCAGACCCCCAGAUGUCACUGCUACCUCUUGGAGAUGUGCUGCCCCGGCCCCUGGGCUCAGCAUUGCCCCCACCACUCCUCCCGUCCACGGAGUGCGAGCAGGGGAGGGGCAGAGAGAGAGGGAGACACAGAAUCCAAAGCGGGCUCUGGGCUCCAGGCUCCCAGCUUUCAGCACAGAGCCCGACGCGGGGCUCGAACUCACAGACUUCGAGAUCAUGAAAGAAGCCAAAGUCGGACGCUUAACUGACUGAGCCCCCCAGGGGCCCCAGGGUAAAGACUUAGGUGUGCAAUUGCUGGCCGUACAGUCACUAUAUGCUUAAUAGUUUCAGAAGCUGCCGGAAUGUGUCCUGAAGCGGCUGCACCAUCCGUGUUCCCGCCAGCCCUAUGUGACUGUCCAAUUGUCCCACGCCCUCGACAACUUGUUCUGUUCCCUGUUUUGAGUAACAGCUAUCCCGGGGGACGAGCCGUGGUUUCUCACCGUGGGUUGGUUCACGUUUCUCUGCUGGCUGGUGACGGUGACGAUCCCUUCGGGUGCUCAUCGGCCAUUUGCCAGGCUUCCUGGGUCAGAUUUCUUUUUUUAAAGUCCUGGGAACUUGCACGAAAAGGCCCUUCACAGACGCGCCGUGGUGAGGUUUCCCGACGGCGAGCCGGUGAAGAGCUGGUUCCUCCUUUGCGCGUGGCUCCGCGGCGGCCGCUGGCAGGCUGCCGUCCCCACGUGGGGCUCCAUCUGGCAGCUGGAGCGGGUGGUGCGACAGCCGGGACGCUUCACCGUCCUUUAACGUGAGAGAAGGCAGCGGUGGGCUUGGCCGUGCGUGUCCCUCCAGCCUGGGCGCAUAGCGGUCGUUCUCACACGCGGCGGCCCUCGCUCGUAGGCCAGCACGGUAGCUGGGGUUCUCGCCGGUUUUGCGCAGGAGGAAACCGAAGCCGGUCCGAGAUUGCUCCGAACCGGUGGCGGGCCCGGGGCCUGACCUCGGGCCUCCGCUCUGUCACGGCGUGUGUCCGGAGGCCCCGCAAGAGCAGGAUUCAGAGAGCGCGAGGUUCUGCCGUGAGACCCGGCCUUCUUGUCCUUUUCCUUUCUGCGAGUCUGUUCGUCACAGUAGAGCACACACCACAGAACUCCCCGCUCUACCCAUUUUUGGACACACGGCUUGGCGGAGCGAGCACGUUCACACUGCUGUGCAGCCGACAUCACCGGCUUCCGCCUGACCCUUCGUGCUGCAGAACUGAAGCUUGGUCCCCACCACACGUGACCCCCCCGGAGCCCCUCCCCCAGCCCCGGCCACCACCAUCUACUUUGUGCCUCGAUGAAUCUGACCGCUCUGGGUACCUCCUGUGAGGAGAAUUAUACCGCAUUUGUCUUCUUGCGAAAGGUGUGUCUCCCUCACUAUGCUGUCUGGAAGGUUCAUUCAUAUUGGAGCAGGUGUCAGAAUUUCCUUCCUUUUUAAGGCUGAGUAAUACUCCAUCGUACGGACGGGCCACAUUUCCUUUAUUCCUUUACUUCCACAACGGGCACUUGGGUUGCCUCUAGUUUCGCUAUUUAAAAAAAUUUUUUUUAAUGCUUAUUUAUUUUUGAGAGAGAGACAGAGCGUGAGUGGGGGAGGGGCAGAGAGAGAGGGAGACACAGAAUCGGAAGCAGGCUCCGGGCUCCGAGCUGUCGGCGCGGAGCCCGAUGCGGGGCUCGAACCCACGGACCGCUGGGUCAUGACCUGAGCUGAAGUCGGAAGCUCAACCGACUGAGCCACCCGGGCGCCCCUCGCUAUUGUUAAUAAUGCCGGUGUGAACGCUGGUGUGCCAGUGUCUCUUCAAGACCCCGCCUUUAGUUCUUUGAAGUGCCCUUGCUGCGUGGAUGGUGGCGUCUCUGUGUUUAUUUUCUCUAGAAACUUCCAUACUUUUCCACAGAGGCUGCACCACCUUAUGUGCCCACCUGCAGUGCACAGGGGAAACAGACCUGGCAUCCUUUUUAAGAGUGGAAUUAAGGAGGUCUAAAUUUCCAGUUACAAAAUCAAGAAGUCAUGGGGAUAAAAAAGAACAGCAUAGGAAACACAGGCAGUAAUGUUGUGAUGACAUCGUGUAACGACGGAUGGCAGCUAGGCUCACCGUGCGGGAUGCUGGGGAUUGUGUGCAGUUGUGCGAUCCCCGUACGUCCGCCUGAAACUAAUAUGACCCUGUGCGUCCACUCUGUGAAAGCCACCGCACCAGAGUGGAGACAGGCCACAUCCCGGGAGUUCAGGUGGCAGGAUCCCGAGCCUGAUGUCAGCCAGGAGCUCGGGGGCUCCCUGCCAUUGGUCGAUCCCUGUGUUCCUGGCGUGGCCUGGCAGGGUCGUGCAGAAUUCUAUGCCUAGCCACCUCUGAUCUGGUCACCGUGUAGAGCACGGUUUAGUCCGCACGUGGCCAACCCUGUAGACGCCUGCCCCGUGUCUGCCUCCCCCUUUUUGCAUCCUAACACCGCUGCGCUUUUGUUCACACUUAGGGCCGGAGAUGUGUUUACUGGCCCCGGGUGCUGGGGGAGGUGCUGGGGGGGGGGGCAGGGAGGACAAAGAGCCCCGAGGUGCGGAGGGUGGAUUAGUGCGGCCGAAACUAGAAUCACAGAGUCUGCUCUGGACACUCGUUCGCCGCCCAGGACGGGGAGCCGGCAGCCCAGGGCAGAGCAAGUGCGUCCCCCCUUCCUGGGAAGGAGGCCAGUUAGAGCCGCCCCGCGGGGCCGGGGCCCGACGCCCCUCGCCAAGGACGCUGUGUUGUCUGUGUAUUUGGAAGGAAAGGAGGGUUAAAAUACCUCUUUGUCUACUGAGGACCCGGUCCGUCGUGACUCAUUUCUCCUUCCUUCCGUUUAGUAAGAGAGACAGGCCCUGUGCCAGCCAGUACGUUCCCAGGCCAGGCAGGUGCAGAACUCCCUGAGACACUGUGACACGCUGGAUUGCUCGUUUAAUUUAAGGCUUAAACAGCUCCAAGAAAUACGUAGAAGCCUAUGCAUCACCGCGGAGGACUUGAUCGGAGUUUCCACUUAACUGGUUUAACGAGUCCCCACGAUCCUCCGUUCCAACCCGGGCUUACAUUUUGGAUUGCUGACGAGGCUCAGAACAUGCGCGUGCCCCAGUGUUUCACACCGACAGGCAGAGACACACGGGGUGGUCCUUCUCACGGGCCCUCCUCCUCCUGCACCCGCCUGGGGCCUGCGGGCCCGGCAGCCCCGGGUGCCCUGCACGAGCCCUGCUGCCUCCCUGGGACCCCUGCGGCCACCUGCCAGCAGCCGACUUGUGGAGCUAGGAUUUCCCGUGUUGGAAACAGGAAACAUAAAAAAUAAUCCUCUGGUUACGCAGAGACCCGGUGAGCAGAUCAGUGCGCCCUGAGCAGGCCCCUCAAGUGCAACCCAGCUCUGACCUUCCGCAGAGACCCCCUUCUUCCCAUUAUUGAUUCUUUAAUGGCAUCUAAUGAUGAUGUAAGGAGGCUGCCGGCCGAGCCCUUCAGUGCCAUCGAUCACUUGUUAAGGAUCAGAGAGGCACGCCCAUCUGCGUACCCCCGACCCUACAUCCCUGGAGGAUCCUGCGCUGCCCCAGGACCCCUCCACCUGGUCCUUCCGGCCCUGCCCCCUCCGCCCGCCCCCCCCUGCCAGUCUUCCUGGCCCUGCCCCCUCU
This is a long non-coding RNA of Acinonyx jubatus (cheetah), 7632 nucleotides long. RefSeq lists it as uncharacterized. The transcript is spliced from 3 exons. The record is from RefSeq and is a predicted model, not a curated record. Lineage: Eukaryota; Metazoa; Chordata; Mammalia; Carnivora; Felidae.